GAUGAACGCUGGCGGCGUGCCUAAUACAUGCAAGUCGAGCGAAAAGACGAGGAGCUUGCUACACUUACGUUAGCGGCGGAAACGUGAGCAACACAUGGAUAACCCAUCUAUAAGACUGGGAUAACUCCGGGAAACCGGAGCUAAAAUCGGACGAUAUAUAGAACCGUAUGGUUCAUUAGUGAUAGACGCUUUUGCUGUCACUGAUAGAUGGAUCCGCGCCGAAUUAGCUAGUUGGUAAGGUAACGGCUUACCCAGGCAACGAUGCGUAGCCGACCUGAGAGGGUGGUCCGACACACUAGAACUGAGACGCGGUCCAGACUCCUACCGGAGGCAGCAGAAGAGAAUCGUCCACAAUGGACGAGAGCCUGACGUGACAACGCCGCGUCGGUGAUGGAGGGCAUCGGAUCGGAAAACUCUAUUAUUAUGAUAGAACACAUGUGUAGGUAACUAUGCACGUCUUGACGGUACCUAAUGAAAAAGCCACGGCUAACUACGUG
RNAcentral lists this ribosomal RNA (497 nucleotides) under uncultured bacterium. RNAcentral describes it as "partial 16S ribosomal RNA". It matches the Rfam family "Bacterial small subunit ribosomal RNA", at positions 28 to 507 of the family's 1533-position model. The record is from RNAcentral.